Molecule: long non-coding RNA, 1286 nt
Filed under: Prunus persica (peach)
Lineage: Eukaryota; Viridiplantae; Streptophyta; Magnoliopsida; Rosales; Rosaceae
Description: long non-coding RNA (PPER_LNC002940)
Source: RNAcentral
CUCUACCUCCGCCAUCUUCACCUAUGCCGGCAACUACGCCUCCACCAUUUCCUCCUUCACCAGCUCUGCCAGCAACAGCACAAAUGUCCUUCACAGGGGAACCAGGAGUGGCAGAUAUGUACUUCACAUCUGGAGCUACUAAACUACAUAAGAAACACUAUAUUUGGUAUCAAUUAGCGAUCGUGUAUGUGUUACAGAAACUACUGUUUGAGAUAUUUGGGUAAACGAAUCGCUUUCACUUGUUGUAAAUAUAGAAAUUUUUUUAUUCUUUUCACUACUUGUAAUCACCAACAAUUAGAUAACUUCCAAAAGUACUAAAAAAAUAAUUAUAGACCUAUCUAAGAAUUUCAUCCAAAAAAGAGUUACUGUAAGCUACUGAUGUAAAUACUUGUCAACUGAGUUAUGUAAGCCUCAAGUUAUCAUUUUCUUCAUCAUUGUACUUGUCAAUUCUCAAAAUUCCUCACCACUACCUUUUCAAUAACAAAUUGUGAUUAUCAGUCAGAUCGUUAAAUAAUGCAAUGCUUCCAAUAACCAGGAAAUGUAAAAAGACAACUCCCUCCGUACAGUUUUUUUCCGAAAUCGAUAGUAAAAUCUUGUGAUAAAUUAAUAUAGAAAAUUGAAUCAAAGGAUAUUUCCAGAAGGAUCGAAACAUUUGACACAAGUAACAAAUUUUCUUCAUUAUAUCAUUUUGCUCACGCCAUUCAAAUUCAAAUAAAUUCUUCACACAAAAAAAUAAAAAAAAAAAUCAGAAAAAUUCUCAGCACUAGAAUUUAGUCACGGUGGAGACGUGCUAUGAAAGAUACUAGAAUUUCAAUCGUACUACUAGUUCAAUUCGCUUUCCCUUGAUUUUCUCAGCAACAGCAACGAAACGCAAAUAAACAGUUGAAAGACAAUUUCACAUAGCAAAUUAAAUCAACAAGACGAGAAGGUAAUCGAGACAGGCAGAGUAGACUCACCAGAAUCUUGCCAGUGAAACAGACGGUGAGGACGACGUCUGAGUUGGAAGAGAAUCGAGAUCCAUCUUUCAAAUGGCCAUCGCUUUCUGUACUUGGAUCCAGAGGCACGAGAUCGGGACACGUGGUGAAGUGGAGGUAGCCGGAGGAGGAAGUGGACCUCCCACUGCUCUCUCUCUCUCUCUCUCUCUAAAUUAUAAUGGCGCUCCGCCACUGCUCGCAUGGUGCAGCCAGAGCCCCCGCCAAUUCUUUCAGGCUAUUUCUCUUUCUUUUCCGUUUCUUCUUUCCGCCUUGGUUUGGGUCCAUGGCAGCAACGAAAUUCGAAAUUUCAGA